UCUCCGUUGGUGAACCAGCGGAGGGAUCAUUAGAGAGUUGCAAAACUCCCACACCAUUGCGAACGCACCCCGUAGCCGUUGCCUCGGCGGGUGGGGCCCCCAGGGGCCGCCCCGCCGGCAGCACGCGAACCUCUGUUUAUUGUGGCCUCUCUGAGUAACUAGACAAAUAAGUCAAAACUUUCAACAACGGAUCUCUUGGUUCAG
This 204-nucleotide unclassified non-coding RNA is filed under the name soil metagenome. Its description in RNAcentral is "partial contains small subunit ribosomal RNA, internal transcribed spacer 1, and 5.8S ribosomal RNA". The record is from RNAcentral.